RNAcentral lists this ribosomal RNA (460 nucleotides) under uncultured bacterium. RNAcentral describes it as "partial 16S ribosomal RNA". It matches the Rfam family "Bacterial small subunit ribosomal RNA", at positions 338 to 795 of the family's 1533-position model. The record is from RNAcentral.
CCUACGGGUGGCAGCAGUGAGGAAUAUUGGUCAAUGGACGAGAGUCUGAACCAGCCAAGUAGCGUGAAGGAUGACUGCCCUAUGGGUUGUAAACUUCUUUUAUAUGGGAAUAAAAUGUUCCACGUGUGGGAUUUUGUAUGUACCAUAUGAAUAAGGAUCGGCUAACUCCGUGCCAGCAGCCGCGGUAAUACGGAGGAUCCGAGCGUUAUCCGGAUUUAUUGGGUUUAAAGGGAGCGUAGGUGGAUUGUUAAGUCAGUUGUGAAAGUUUGCGGCUCAACCGUAAAAUUGCAGUUGAAACUGACAGUCUUGAGUACAGUAGAGGUGGGCGGAAUGCGUGGUGUAGCGGUGAAAUGCUUAGAUAUCACGAAGAACUCCGAUUGCGAAGGCAGUUCACUGGACUGCAACUGACACUGAGGCUCGAAAGUGUGGGUAUCAAACAGGAUUAGAUACCCUAGUAGUC